GACGAACGCUGGCGGCGUGCCUAACACAUGCAAGUCGAACGGGGUGCUCUGGAAUGAGUCUUCGGAUGAUUUCCGGGGUUACCUAGUGGCGGACGGGUGAGUAACGCGUGAGCAACCUGCCUCUCAGUGGGGGAUAACAGUUGGAAACAGCUGCUAAUACCGCAUGAAGUACGUUGGGGGCAUCCCUGAUGUACCAAAGGCAAGCAAUUGCCGCUGAGAGAUGGGCUCACGUCUGAUUAGCUAGUUGGUGAGGUAACGGCUCACCAAGGCGACGAUCAGUAGCCGGACUGAGAGGUUGGCCGGCCACAUUGGGACUGAGAUACGGCCCAGACUCCUACGGGAGGCAGCAGUGGGGAAUAUUGGGCAAUGGGCGAAAGCCUGACCCAGCAACGCCGCGUGAAGGAAGAAGGCCUUCGGGUUGUAAACUUCUUUUAUCAGGGACGAAGGAUGUGACGGUACCUGAUGAAUAAGCCACGGCUAACUACGUG
RNAcentral lists this ribosomal RNA (488 nucleotides) under uncultured organism. RNAcentral describes it as "bacterial SSU rRNA". It matches the Rfam family "Bacterial small subunit ribosomal RNA", at positions 28 to 507 of the family's 1533-position model. The record is from RNAcentral.